Molecule: ribosomal RNA, 508 nt
Filed under: uncultured bacterium
Lineage: Bacteria
Description: bacterial SSU rRNA
Rfam family: Bacterial small subunit ribosomal RNA
Source: RNAcentral
AUUUUGGACAAUGGGCGCAAGCCUGAUCCAGCAAUGCCGCGUGCAGGAUGAAGGCCUUCGGGUUGUAAACUGCUUUUGUACGGAACGAAAAGGUUCUGGUUAAUACCUGGGGCUCAUGACGGUACCGUAAGAAUAAGCACCGGCUAACUACGUGCCAGCAGCCGCGGUAAUACGUAGGGUGCAAGCGUUAAUCGGAAUUACUGGGCGUAAAGCGUGCGCAGGCGGUUAUAUAAGUCAGAUGUGAAAUCCCCGGGCUCAACCUGGGACCUGCAUUUGAGACUGUAUAGCUAGAGUACGGUAGAGGGGGAUGGAAUUCCGCGUGUAGCAGUGAAAUGCGUAGAUAUGCGGAGGAACACCGAUGGCGAAGGCAAUCCCCUGGACCUGUACUGACGCUCAUGCACGAAAGCGUGGGGAGCAAACAGGAUUAGAUACCCUGGUAGUCCACGCCCUAAACGAUGUCAAGUGGUUGUUGGGUCUUCACUGACUCAGUAACGAAGCUAACGCGUGA